CCGAUCUUAGCUCAGUUGGAAGUAGCGCAAGACUGUAAUGGUUAUCAAAACAAUCAUCUUGAGGUCGCCUGUUCGAACCAGGCAGAUCGGA
This is a non-coding RNA of Infundibulicybe gibba, 91 nucleotides long. The record is from the annotation of a GenBank genome assembly. NCBI's taxonomy places the organism in Eukaryota, Fungi, Basidiomycota, Agaricomycetes, Agaricales, Omphalinaceae.